GGUCCGUUAGCUCAGUGGGCAGAGCGCGGUGCUGAUAACGCCGAGGUCGUGAGUUCAAGCCUCACACGGACCA
Molecule: transfer RNA, 73 nt
Filed under: Pocillopora damicornis (cauliflower coral)
Lineage: Eukaryota; Metazoa; Cnidaria; Anthozoa; Scleractinia; Pocilloporidae
Description: tRNA-Ile
Rfam family: tRNA
About the family: Transfer RNA (tRNA) molecules are approximately 80 nucleotides in length. Their secondary structure includes four short double-helical elements and three loops (D, anti-codon, and T loops).
Source: Rfam by way of RNAcentral